CACUUCGGUCCGGAGUUGAUGGGUUAUCCAGUCUGCCUUCUUCUGCUUGCAGAGGAAGGUCUGGUGUACUCGCGAUGCCAGAACCCGUUCUUCAGAUGUGAGUCUGUUGAACACCCCGCAACCCUCAAAAAGUUGCAAACCCUUCCCAUCAACACCAACUUGACCGUUGU
Molecule: non-coding RNA, 170 nt
Organism: Caenorhabditis brenneri
Lineage: Eukaryota; Metazoa; Nematoda; Chromadorea; Rhabditida; Rhabditidae
Source: Rfam